UCUCCGUUGGUGAACCAGCGGAGGGAUCAUUACAGAGUUGCAAAACUCCCAAACCAUUGUGAACGUUACCUAUCCCGUUGCUUCGGCGGGCGGCCCGGGCCCCGUGCCCAGCGCCCCCCGGCCCCCCGUGGGCGCCCGCCGGAGGUAAACCAAACCCUUGAAUUGUAUGGCCUCUCUGAGUCUUCUGUACUGAAUAAGUCAAAACUUUCAACAACGGAUCUCUUGGUUCUG
Molecule: unclassified non-coding RNA, 231 nt
Filed under: plant metagenome
Description: partial contains small subunit ribosomal RNA, internal transcribed spacer 1, and 5.8S ribosomal RNA
Source: RNAcentral